GUGCUCACUUUGGCAGUACAUAUACUAAAACUGGAACACAGAGAAGAUUAGCAUGGCCCCUGAGCAAGAUGACAUGAAAAUUUGUGAAGCAUUUCAUAUUUCU
This is a non-coding RNA of Erinaceus europaeus (western European hedgehog), 103 nucleotides long. The record is from Rfam. NCBI's taxonomy places the organism in Eukaryota, Metazoa, Chordata, Mammalia, Eulipotyphla, Erinaceidae.